Prunus avium (sweet cherry) is the source of this 462-nucleotide non-coding RNA. NCBI's taxonomy places the organism in Eukaryota, Viridiplantae, Streptophyta, Magnoliopsida, Rosales, Rosaceae. The record is from RefSeq and is a predicted model, not a curated record.
GAACUCAGAACAGUACUUUAAUUUUAGAUUUCGUUUCAGAACUCAUACAUUAUCAUUUUCGCCGCUUUAAAACCAGACCUAGCAAACUGGUGGUCUAAGUCUCCCUCCCCCCAUCCACACGUGAAUUUCAGAUCUCCUCCUCCUCUUCAGAAAACUUCAUCUCAAGCCAUGCCUCUAAUGAAAGGAAGAAUUCCUUUUUUAAUUCCCAAGAAAUCCUCCAGUGGUUUUCUCCUAUUCUCAUCUCAUGAAAUCAAGAAAGGGAAGAUCGAAGAUUGGUUCUAUCGACUAGCGCUGGAGGAAGAUUUGAAAUUCUCCCCUUCAAUAUUUCAAAUUCAGAUAUAUAUACAUCCAAUUUUAUUUGCUGAUACAUUCAGAUCUAUCACUUAAAAUCCUAAUUUAAUUUCCUUUUUUUUUUGCUUUUGUUCUCGUCAGGGAAGAUAUGAAGAUCGAUCCAGAGGACAU